AUUGAACGCUGGCGGCAUGCUUUACACAUGCAAGUCGAACGGUAACAGGCCGCAAGGUGCUGACGAGUGGCGAACGGGUGAGUAAUGCAUCGGAACGUGCCCAGUCGUGGGGGAUAACGCAGCGAAAGUUGCGCUAAUACCGCAUACGAUCUAUGGAUGAAAGCGGGGGACCGUAAGGCCUCGCGCGAUUGGAGCGGCCGAUGUCAGAUUAGGUAGUUGGUGGGGUAAAGGCUCACCAAGCCGACGAUCUGUAGCUGGUCUGAGAGGACGACCAGCCACACUGGGACUGAGACACGGCCCAGACUCCUACGGGAGGCAGCAGUGGGGAAUUUUGGACAAUGGGCGCAAGCCUGAUCCAGCAAUGCCGCGUGCAGGAAGAAGGCCUUCGGGUUGUAAACUGCUUUUGUACGGAACGAAACGGUCCUGGUUAAUACCCGGGGCUAAUGACGGUACCGUAAGAAUAAGCACCGGCUAACUACGUGCCAGCAGCCGCCGUAA
Molecule: ribosomal RNA, 498 nt
Filed under: uncultured bacterium
Lineage: Bacteria
Description: partial 16S ribosomal RNA
Rfam family: Bacterial small subunit ribosomal RNA
Source: RNAcentral